Molecule: transfer RNA, 73 nt
Filed under: Candidatus Uhrbacteria bacterium
Lineage: Bacteria; Candidatus Uhriibacteriota
Description: tRNA-Thr
Rfam family: tRNA
About the family: Transfer RNA (tRNA) molecules are approximately 80 nucleotides in length.
Source: RNAcentral
GCCGAUGUAGCUCAGACGGUAGAGCACGUCCAUGGUAAGGACGGGGUCGCCGGUUCGAUCCCGGCCAUCGGCU